CCAGCUCCAAUAGCGUAUAUUAAAGUUGUUGUGGUUAAAAAGCUCGUAGUUGGAUCUCGGCGGACAGAAGUCGGUCCGAAUGCUUUCGGUACUGGCUUGUUUGUCCGUGUGUUUUGCCAGAGGCAGGCGGGUGCUCUUCGCCGAGUGUCCGUUUGUGCUGGCAGGUUUACUUUGAAAAAAUUAGAGUGCUCAAAGCAAGCUCUCACGCUUGAAUAUUCGUGCAUGGAAUAAUAGAAUAGGAUGUCGUUUCUAUUUUGUUGGUUUUCGGAAAUCGACAUAAUGAUUAAUAGGGACAGUCGGGGGCAUUUGUAUUCAAACGACAGAGGUGAAAUUCUUGGACCGUUUGAAGACAAACUACUGCGAAAGCAUUUGCCAAGAAUGUUUUCAUUAAUCAAGAACGAAAGUUAGAGGUUCGAAGGCGAUUAGAUACCGCCCUAGUUCUAACCAUAAACGAUGCCAGCUAGCGAUCUGCAGGCGUUUUACUUUACGACCUUGCAGGGAGCUUCCGGGAAACCAAAGCUUGUGGGUUCCAGGGGAAGUAUGGUUGCAAAGCUGAAACUUAAAGGAAUUGACGAAAGGGCACCACCAGAAGUGGAGCCUGCGGCUUAAUUCGACUCAAC
Molecule: ribosomal RNA, 620 nt
Filed under: uncultured eukaryote
Lineage: Eukaryota
Description: SSU rRNA
Rfam family: Eukaryotic small subunit ribosomal RNA
Source: RNAcentral